Molecule: long non-coding RNA, 2313 nt
Filed under: Mus musculus (house mouse)
Lineage: Eukaryota; Metazoa; Chordata; Mammalia; Rodentia; Muridae
Description: long non-coding RNA chr5:64233929-64236242
Source: RNAcentral
GAGGAGGUUGCACACGUGUGUGUGUGUGUGUGUGUGUGUGUGUGUGUGUGUGACAGGGCAGUUUUCCUAUAAACACAUGGAGAUCCUCCUGCCUCUUCCUCCUAUGUGUUGGGAUUAAAGACAUACACCACCAUGUGUAGCUCACACUUAGUUUUAUAAGGCAAAUAUUUUAAAAUGCUUUAGGAAAGGAAUAAUUUUUUAAAUAAGUAAUUGAAUGCAAAUUAAUAAAACCAAGCUUUUUACAUUUUGUCUUCGUCGAUAGGCUCCUAACAUGGACUUAAGAGUGCAUCUGCUGUAUGCUAGGCUGUUGUAAGGAGCUGGGGGGUUCGAUCGCAGAGAGGUAGGCCAGUUCCCUGUUUUUGUGGUCUUUCUAAUCCAGAGAGACAGAGAAGCAAAUGAUAACCAAAGUAGUUUUAGUUGGUGGUCAGUGCUAGGAAGAGAAGUAGAGAAAGAAAUUUGAGGACUGGGUGGGGUGGGGCCCAGCAGCAGGGAGCUGGUGCAGAGAGGUCACUCCAGGCCAGGUGGGUGAAUGAGCGGUCUAAAGACUAGGCUGGGUGUGGACUUGCUGUUAAUUACAGUAAGGAGCCAUAGAUGGUGGAAAGCAGCGGUGCUGUCCACUGCUGCUUGCUGUGGAUGGGGUUUCUUAGGCUGUGCUCCAGGCUGCAGUGUCUCUGUUAGGAGGUGAUGGUGUUAGCCUAGACUUGGGUAGUGAGGAAGGAAGGUCACAUCGCUGUUUUUCAGCGUUUGAAAUGAUCUGUCUUGCCGGCUGUGCUCAGUCUGCUUUCCUGGAGCGAUUUGUUGUUCAAGAGUACAAGUGUGUCUUGUUCUUUGAUCAGCUGCUCCUAACCACAGCCUUCAGGCAAGUCCUGUCCUGGCUCCCAGCUUGUAUUUAUUCACUGCGGAGGUGCUCUGUGGGCUGGAGUAGCCCAUGUUGGGUGCCAGUGGUCAACUGGACUUGCUCUUCAGGUUUCUAGAGCAUAGCACGGCCACUUUAGAGUCCCUUUCCUGGGAGGGGUCCACCUGCCUGCUGCCAGUGUUUAUAUAGGCAACCUUGCAGUCUUGCUUGAAGUCAGUCCUGUGUUGGUUUGUCCAUGAGAUGUAGCCUUAAAGCACAGGCGCUUUCUUUAUAUUUAUUAAUGCUAUAUUUAAUUAGUGGCUGCUUAAGUUUAAUAAAGAGCGAAGAACUCCUUAAUAAUAGUCAAGCCAUCCCUUGAACUUGGGAAAUGUGCUGCCUCUGCUAAGCACAGCUAGAGUAAGCCACACUUCAGUACAGCUGUGGGGGAGACUGUCUCUGCCUGUAGUGAUGCAGAUUGUCUUGGGCUAAUAACUCAAGCAUAGGCUGUUCUUAUGAAGACAGAAUGAAGGAAUGCCGGAGUGGAAGACAGUCUCCAGGAGAACAUAGCCCAGAGCAGGCCUCAUCAUGACAACAAGGUUAAUCAUAGUCUGUUCCUUGUAGGAGUUCACUAACUCAUCUUAGACUGAAUGUCUGUACCCUAGUAGUCCCCUUCUGUCAAAACCCUUCUAUCCUCUGCCCUUUUCCCGGGGCAUCUCUGAUUAAUCAUUCAUUGGGUGAGUAGAGAAUAAUGGGAAGGGUGGGGCGGGGCUGGGUUUGUCAGACAGACUUGCCUGGGGGGAAAGCCUUGAGUAUGUAUGGUGUGGGGACUGCAGUCUCUUGUAGGUGGGGGACACUGGGCAUCAGCUCAGGUGAGGCUGGACAGGUGACAUGUGAAAUGUGGCCUCCUUCAGAAAAGCUUUUAUCCCAGGACAGUGGGGAUCCUGUAGAGACCAUAGCUUAUCUUCCCUCAGAUUGUAAGCUGUUGGUCCACUGUGUGAGGUGCCUUGUGUUGUAGAUAUUAAAGUAUUGUAGUUCUUCUACUAGUCUGAAAUCACUGUGAAAACCAGCCUGGGGGGCUUUGCCCCAGUGUGUAUGAAUCACAUGGGUAUCCCAGGUAAUGUGGCUGUAGUUUUCUUGGUCUCAAUGGGAAUACUUCUAAUGAGUGCCUGGGUGAUGUGGCUGGUCUGGGGACUGCACUGUGAGUAAGAAGGCUCUCAUAUUUUUUUUUUAAAACAUAUGCCAUACCGGGCAGUGGUGGCGCAUGCCUUUAAUCCCAGCACUUAGAAGGCAGAGGUAGGCGGAUUUUCUGGGUUCAAGGCCAGCCUAGCCUGGUCUACAAAGUGAGUUCCAGGACAGCCAGGGCUACACAGAGAAACCCUGUCUCGAAAACAAACAAACAAAAACAUAUGCCAUGGUUUCACUUGGGUUUUUUUCUUUCUAUAUUUUGUUUUUUAUUAUUUUUUGUUUGUUUCAUCUGC